GACGAACGCUGGCGGCGUGCUUAACACAUGCAAGUCGAACGAGAGCGUAGAGAAAGCUUGCUUUUUCUACAAUCUAGUGGCAAACGGGUGAGUAACGCGUAAACAACCUGCCCUACGGAUGGGGACAACAGCUGGAAACGGCUGCUAAUACCGAAUACGUUCCGAAAGUCGCAUGACUAUCGGAAGAAAGGAUGGCCUCUAUUUAUAAGCUAUCGCCGGAGGCGGGGUUUGCGUCUGAUUAGCUAGUUGGAGGGGUAACGGCCCACCAAGGCGACGAUCAGUAGCCGGUCUGAGAGGAUGAACGGCCAAAUUGGAACUGGGACACGGUCCAGACUCCUACGGGAGGCAGCAGUGGGGAAUCUUCCGCAAUGGGCGAAAGCCUGACGGAGCAACGCCGCGUGAGUGAAGACGGCCUUCGGGUUGUAAAGCUCUGUUAUACGGGACGAAUAAUCUUGUGGUUAAUACCCAUGAGAAGUGACGGUACCGUAAGAGAAAGCCACGGCUAACUACGUG
RNAcentral lists this ribosomal RNA (513 nucleotides) under uncultured bacterium. Its description in RNAcentral is "partial 16S ribosomal RNA". It matches the Rfam family "Bacterial small subunit ribosomal RNA", at positions 28 to 507 of the family's 1533-position model. The record is from RNAcentral.